RNAcentral lists this ribosomal RNA (253 nucleotides) under uncultured bacterium. Its description in RNAcentral is "partial 16S ribosomal RNA". It matches the Rfam family "Bacterial small subunit ribosomal RNA", at positions 524 to 776 of the family's 1533-position model. The record is from RNAcentral.
UACGUAGGGCGCAAGCGUGUCCGGAAUUAUUGGGCGUAAAGAGCUCGUAGGCGGUUUGUCACGUCGGCUGUGAAAACCCGAGGCUCAACCUCGGGCCUGCAGUCGAUACGGGCAGACUAGAGUGCUGUAGGGGAGACUGGAAUUCCUGGUGUAGCGGUGAAAUGCGCAGAUAUCAGGAGGAACACCGGUGGCGAAGGCGGGUCUCUGGGCAGUAACUGACGCUGGAGGAGCGAAAGCGUGGGGAGCAAACAGG